RNAcentral lists this non-coding RNA (21 nucleotides) under Caenorhabditis elegans. The record is from RNAcentral. Lineage: Eukaryota; Metazoa; Nematoda; Chromadorea; Rhabditida; Rhabditidae.
UUUAGAAUAUUUCGAUUUUAA